AACGUAGGAGGCGAGCGUUAUCCGGAUUUACUGGGCGUAAAGGGCGUGCAGGCGGUUUUUUAAGUCUAGGGUGAAAGCUCCCGGCUCAACUGGGAGAGGUCCUUGGAUACUGGAGAACUUGAGGGAUGCAGAGGAAAGUGGAAUUCCCGGUGUAGUGGUGAUAUGCGUAGAUAUCGGGAGGAACACCAGUGGCGAAGGCGGCUUUCUGGGCAUUUCCUGACGCUGAGACGCGAAAGCGUGGGGAGCGAACCGG
RNAcentral lists this ribosomal RNA (253 nucleotides) under uncultured bacterium. RNAcentral describes it as "partial 16S ribosomal RNA". It matches the Rfam family "Bacterial small subunit ribosomal RNA", at positions 524 to 776 of the family's 1533-position model. The record is from RNAcentral.